AUGUCUACCUCCAACCAAGUUCCAUCCAUUGGUCUUACCAGCACCACACCCAAGUCCCUCACAAGGACCAACUACAUCCUAUGGAGAGCCCAAGCUCGCUGCCAGAUCAUGGGUGCCGGGCUAUAUGGGUACAUAGAUCAAACUACACCUGAGCCAAACAAAACCAUAGUUACCAAGAACUCAGGAGGAAAGGAGCAAAUCGCUCCUAACCCUACCUAUAACCCAUGGCUGAUUCAAGAUCAGCAGAUUGUAGCCUUUCUCCUUAAUCUCUCGAAGGAGGUUCCCAUCCAAGUUGCCUCACUAGAAACCUCGCACGCCAUAUGGUCAGCCCUAGCGAACAUGUUCGCUUCCCAAUCUUGUUCUCGUGUGAACAACUGCCGCAUCUCUCUCUCUCUCUCCAAUGCACAGAAAGGCUCCCUGAGCGCCUCCGCAUACUUUGGGCUGAUGAGAGCGCUCUCGGAUGAGCUAGCUGCCGCCGGGAGUCCCAUAACGGAAGGAGAUCUUCUUUCUUUCAUCAUUGCACGGCUGGAUUACCAAACCUUGAUCCCGGCGCUGGACGUCCGCCCCCUCUCGGUGGAUGAUAUCUUUGGCAUGGUCGCGAAUUUCGAUCAGCUUAUUGAGAUGUUCCACAGGACAGGAGCAGGUGCUUUCAAAUCCUCGGCUAAUGCUGCAUCUCGAGGCCAUGGCAGCAACAACUCCAACCGUUAUCGUGGCGGCGGUGGCGGCUACGAAAACUACAACAGUGGCGGCGGUGGCGGCAACGAAAACUACAAUAGUGGCGGCGGUGGUGGCGGCGGCCACUACGAGAACGCUGGCGGCGGCGGUGGCAGCGGCCACUACCAGAACACCGGCGGCGGCGAUGGCGGCGGCCACUACCCGAACGGCGGCGGAAACAACAGGGGCGUCCCUUCCAAGGGUAUUAGGAGUAUGAAAAUAAGUGUAAAAUUUGCAAGAAAAAUAACCAUAUCGCCAACGAUUGUGAUUGGCGCUAUGACGAGAACAACUCCAGAAAAAAAAGUUGCAGCUGCCGCAGACACGUCAUACAGAGUUGACACAAACUAG
This 1062-nucleotide ribosomal RNA is filed under the name Triticum aestivum (bread wheat). Its description in RNAcentral is "partial small subunit ribosomal RNA". Lineage: Eukaryota; Viridiplantae; Streptophyta; Magnoliopsida; Poales; Poaceae. The record is from RNAcentral.